AUGAUUCAUCCUGGUCUUUAUUUAUUUUAGACACGAAGUGAUAAUAGCCAGAGACAUGGGCAAGCCUCGCAGUUACAAGCGGUCAAGCUCGUGGGCAUGCCAAUUGGUAAGUAGGAUUGAUGCUUCACGGUACACAUAACCUUCACAACUAAUGUUUGCUUACAAGAUGUGUCAUGCAGCAAGCUAGUAGACGAGAUAAUAACAUGACACAAACACUAAUUGCAGAAACACAAGAGAGAUCAGAUUAAGUAGUACUACUAGUAGUGGGAAAGACCGAAAUAAAUAAAGAUACGAUGCUACCACACAAACACAACUAGGACAACUUGUCUUCAUCUCCUAGUGUGGAUCCAUGCAUGACAAGUUAUCUUCAUGAUCACUGCGGUGGCACUCGUGCGUCGGGCAGGGUGGAUACUUGUCGAGAUGUUGAGGUGGGGGUGGUCGCUUGAUGUCGAUGAUGUUGACUACCACGCGUCUUCAUCCUGUACAAUACAGAUGAUCAAUAUCUUCACAGUUCACACGAAUGACCAACAUUGGACUAACUUUCUAUGGUAAGAAGACCAAGUUAGGGUGUUCCCUCGGAAACACCUUCAUUUUUCUCAAUCUUUUCCUCGCUUGUUCCUGUCCCUGAAAUAAACUUAGUGAUGUAAGAAAAAUAAAGUUUUGGUUGUGUACAAUCCAGUUCUAAGAGGGAGCAAAAUUUGCGUUAGAACUUUGCAUAAUGAAUCAAUAAUUACUAUAUUUAAACUUGCCUUUGUUGCCGUUGUUUUUCUAGCAACCGAAGCUUGACCCUGAAACACUCAUACCGGCGAUACCGCUGCAUGAGGCACUCAUGCGGCUAGCAUUCUAAACAAGCUGGCGGUAUGAGUGCCUCAGGGUCAAACUCAGGUGGCCGGAAGGAGAGAAGAGACCGUAGGAGAGAUAGUUGGAAGGUGGAGAGGAGAAGGAGAGAAGAGACCGCGGGAGUGAUAGCUGGAAGGCGGAGAGGGGAGAGUGGGAUGGACGCACACUUGGAAGGCACGCACGGGAGCCCAAUUUUAUAGCCGCG
RNAcentral lists this long non-coding RNA (1045 nucleotides) under Triticum aestivum (bread wheat). RNAcentral describes it as "long non-coding RNA (TAES_LNC010975)". The record is from RNAcentral. Lineage: Eukaryota; Viridiplantae; Streptophyta; Magnoliopsida; Poales; Poaceae.